Camelus dromedarius (Arabian camel) is the source of this 489-nucleotide long non-coding RNA. RefSeq lists it as uncharacterized. NCBI's taxonomy places the organism in Eukaryota, Metazoa, Chordata, Mammalia, Artiodactyla, Camelidae. The transcript is spliced from 3 exons. The record is from RefSeq and is a predicted model, not a curated record.
UGUUAAUUUGGGAAUAGCAGGGGAAUUAUAACUCGGACAAGCAAGCGAUGAUGGAUGGGGGAGCAAAUGGAUGAAUGGAUGGCGGAUGGCUGAGUGGAUGGACAGAUAGAAGAGCAGUAGAAGGAUGGGGCAGCUGCACGAGGAAGGACACAAACAGGGCUGAAAGAAAUGGUUUUACCGGCAAGGGAGACUUAUGCGACUGGAAGGAGCCAUCAAGGGGGAGAGCGAGAUGCAGUGCAAGGAAGGACACUGAUGGCAUCAUUCUGCAGAAGCAGCAAGGGUAUGUGUGGAGGGCUGUGAGGAGAUGGGGUGGGGUUUGUCUGAGACCGGAAGGAAGGUGGGGAGGAAGGAAAAAUGAUCCUGAAACACCAGAGGUGAAGGCGUGAGAUGACUCCUCUCUAAUGGCUUCUGUCUUCUGUUAGUUAGUGGAGUGAAUUUUCUAGUGAGGAUGGGGAGCAGUGGCUGAACUGUGCGUAGGGAAAAUGGUCC